CGAGGGGAGUGAAAAAGAACCUGAAACCGUGUACGUACAAGCAGUGGGAGCACGCUUAGGCGUGUGACUGCGUACCUUUUGUAUAAUGGGUCAGCGACUUAUAUUCUGUAGCAAGGUUAACCGAAUAGGGGAGCCGAAGGGAAACCGAGUCUUAACUGGGCGUUAAGUUGCAGGGUAUAGACCCGAAACCCGGUGAUCUAGCCAUGGGCAGGUUGAAGGUUGGGUAACACUAACUGGAGGACCGAACCGACUAAUGUUGAAAAAUUAGCGGAUGACUUGUGGCUGGGGGUGAAAGGCCAAUCAAACCGGGAGAUAGCUGGUUCUCCCCGAAAGCUAUUUAGGUAGCGCCUCGUGAAUUCAUCUCCGGGGGUAGAGCACUGUUUCGGCAAGGGGGUCAUCCCGACUUACCAACCCGAUGCAAACUGCGAAUACCGGAGAAUGUUAUCACGGGAGACACACGGCGGGUGCUAACGUCCGUCGUGAAGAGGGAAACAACCCAGACCGCCAGCUAAGGUCCCAAAGUCAUGGUUAAGUGGGAAACGAUGUGGGAAGGCCCAGACAGCCAGGAUGUUGGCUUAGAAGCAGCCAUCAUUUAAAGAAAGCGUAAUAGCUCACUGGUCGAGUCGGCCUGCGCGGAAGAUGUAACGGGGCUAAACCAUGCACCGAAGCUGCGGCAGCGACGCUGAUGCGUUGUUGGGUAGGGGAGCGUUCUGUAAGCCUGCGAAGGUGUGCUGUGAGGCAUGCUGGAGGUAUCAGAAGUGCGAAUGCUGACAUAAGUAACGAUAAAGCGGGUGAAAAGCCCGCUCGCCGGAAGACCAAGGGUUCCUGUCCAACGUUAAUCGGGGCAGGGUGAGUCGACCCCUAAGGCGAGGCCGAAAGGCGUAGUCGAUGGGAAACAGGUUAAUAUUCCUGUACUUGGUGUUACUGCGAAGGGGGGACGGAGAAGGCUAUGUUGGCCGGGCGACGGUUGUCCCGGUUUAAGCGUGUAGGCUGGUUUUCCAGGCAAAUCCGGAAAAUCAAGGCUGAGGCGUGAUGACGAGGCACUACGGUGCUGAAGCAACAAAUGCCCUGCUUCCAGGAAAAGCCUCUAAGCAUCAGGUAA
RNAcentral lists this ribosomal RNA (1102 nucleotides) under Escherichia coli. Its description in RNAcentral is "partial 23S ribosomal RNA". It matches the Rfam family "Bacterial large subunit ribosomal RNA", at positions 530 to 1634 of the family's 2925-position model. Lineage: Bacteria; Pseudomonadati; Pseudomonadota; Gammaproteobacteria; Enterobacterales; Enterobacteriaceae. The record is from RNAcentral.